GUGGUGCAUGGUUGUCGUCAGCUCGUGUCGUGAGAUGUUGGGUUAAGUCCCGCAACGAGCGCAACCCUUGAUUUUAGUUGCCAGCAUUUAGUUGGGCACUCUAAAGUGACUGCCGGUGCAAGCCGGAGGAAGGUGGGGAUGACGUCAAAUCAUCAUGCCCCUUAUGACCUGGGCUACACACGUGCUACAAUGGAUAGUACAAAGGGUCGCGAAGCGGCGAGGUGGAGCUAAUCCCAUAAAACUAUUCUCAGUUCGGAUUGUAGGCUGCAACUCGCCUACAUGAAGCCGGAAUCGCUAGUAAUCGUGGAUCAGCAUGCCACGGUGAAUAC
Molecule: ribosomal RNA, 329 nt
Filed under: Leptospira borgpetersenii serovar Arborea
Lineage: Bacteria; Pseudomonadati; Spirochaetota; Leptospiria; Leptospirales; Leptospiraceae
Description: bacterial SSU rRNA
Rfam family: Bacterial small subunit ribosomal RNA
Source: RNAcentral